Molecule: long non-coding RNA, 1301 nt
Organism: Engraulis encrasicolus (European anchovy)
Lineage: Eukaryota; Metazoa; Chordata; Actinopteri; Clupeiformes; Engraulidae
Exons: 3
Source: RefSeq, a predicted model, not a curated record
AGGAGGAGGAGAAUGGAGAUAAGAAAUGGAUUAAAGAGGAGGAGACGACUAUGAUGAGCCGUUUAAAGAGGAGGUGAUUGAAGACGAAAAAUGGCUUAAAGAGGAGGAGAUUGAAGAGGAGAAAUGGGUCAAAGAGGAGGCGAUUGAAGAUGAGAGGUGGUUUAAAGAGGAAGAGAUUGAAGAUGAUGAAUGUGUUAAAGAGGAGGAGAUCGAAGAGGAGAUAUGGCUUAAAGAGGACUAUGGAGGAGGAGGCGACAAUGAUGUGUCCUACAGCGAGUCCAGAGGAAGACAAGAGAUACUGAUGCAAAGUGGUCGAGAGGAAGAGGAAGGGGCGGAGAAGAGGUCUGGGGAGGAUGACGGCCAGGGCCGCCGACAGCUUUGGCCGGGCCUGAGACAAAGUCGUAUGAAGUGCACACUCAUCCAAUACAUGCAAUUUUACUGUGGACCCAGUUCGGGGCCCCCAACUCCCUGGGUCCUGGACAACUGACCCCUUUGGGCUACAAUGACCGCAAAUGGAAAAUCUGGAUGAAGCUUAGGAAUGACUUGAGGCCAUCUUGGAGUUGGCCAGAGAAGACUAAAGAGGAGACGCAGGCUGAGGAGGAGGAGGAGGUGAAGGAUGAUGAGAGGGAGAUGAAUGAGGAGGUGAAUAUUAGGAGCUGGCUGAGGAAAAUGAGGAUUGUGCUAAAGUGCAGAAUAUGAAGAUGAAAUGUAACAUUUCUUCUCAGUUUUUCAAGAAAACCCAUAAAAAAAGGAAACAUGAAAUUUACUAUAAAGAAUGAACUAGAAUGGCAAGGCUGAGAGUGCAGGAGAUCUGGAGGCUAUAACAUGGAGAAGACUGAAGCUUAGAAGGUUAUGGACUCUUGCAAUCUACACAGGGAGAGGGUGUUGCAGAGGGGAGAUGAUGUCAAGACUAACCAGUGAGCAGCCCAAGUCACACCAAGCUGACUAGCGAAGGAGAGGGGUGACUAUGAGGAGCUGGCUAUAGCGAACAUGAUGGUUGUGCUGAAGUGGAGAAAAUGAAUGGCAGGGCGGGAAUGGAUGUGACGUAGUAGAGGCCUUGAGUAUAGGCUAUAACGUGGAGAAAACUAGGGCUAAGCAGCAGGUUGAGGAGCCUUGCCAUCUACUGUACACAGGGAGAGGGUUUUGCAGAGAGGAGAAGAAUAUGUAAAGAAGUCUAACCAGUGAGCAGCCCAAGUCACACCAAGCUGACUAGCGAAGGAGAGGGGUGACUAUGAGGAGCUGGCUAUAGCGAAAAUGAUGGUUGUGCUAAAGUGGAGUAAACGAAGAAUGGUAUGGUCUGA